RNAcentral lists this long non-coding RNA (646 nucleotides) under Pan troglodytes (chimpanzee). RNAcentral describes it as "long non-coding RNA NONPTRT014599". Lineage: Eukaryota; Metazoa; Chordata; Mammalia; Primates; Hominidae. The record is from RNAcentral.
UUCUGGGGACGUCUAGCUAACACCAGUCUGCCUCGCUCUUUUCUGGAACACACUGAGUGGGUGGGAGAGCCUUGGGUCUCUGGCCCCUAAGGAACCCCUUGCUUGAGGGCUGGAGUCCCUUGAACUGUCAUUCAUGUUAAACCCAGUAUUUGCAGAAACUGCCCGUGUGCCAGGCCUAGGGGUACAGAGACCCCUCCCUGCCCUUAGUGUGCAACCCAGUCGGGGGCAGAGGCGUGAUGACCCUUCACUGUGGCUGGACAGUGGAGGGCUGGCAAUCCAGGACCAGGGAAGGUUUCCUGGAGGAUGUGACGCUGGGGACAGAGCCAGGGGAUGAUAAGGCCAGGCACUGGACCUCCUGAUGAUCUCAUCCAUAUCCCCUCCAGCCAGCCCCCUGGGGAUGCCACAUGGAGCUGCUGCAUUUGUGGACACCUGCAGUGGGGACAAGAUGGACUGUGUCUCAGGGGUCUCGGUGCCUGAGGUCCUGGAAGAGGACAGGGAGCUGGACAGCACAGAGCGGGCCUGUGACACUCUGUUGAUGUGCAUCGUCACUGUCAUGAACCAUGGGCUACGCAACGGUGGUGGCGUGGGCGACAUUCUCCGCAAGCCCUCCAAAGAUGUGAGCACUCCUGCCCACUCCCAAACCUGU